UAUCUGAAUUCCCCCAUUCUUUCCUCCUUUUUGUUGCUCACGAUCUCAAAUCCCCAAUCCCUAACCUAACACUCCCUCUCACUCUCCUUUCUUUUUAUCUCUUUCGCCUACAUUGUCGCCUCUGGUGCCGUCACCGGCGACCACCACUGCCGCCGCCACACCUCCUCCCUCACCACCCUCUAUCUCGUCUCCUAUUCUCUUCACUAAUCUUUACCGGUCAUCUACUUCGUCUUCUCCAAUCUCGUCAUCGGUUCCAAAACCCUAACCCUACCUUCGAUUUUCUCCAAUCCCUCCACAAGCCAUAUGUUCAAAUCUAGACCCUACACUCCCUUCGACUGUUUCAGAACCUUUGUCUAAAAAAGACUACCAUCGGACUCAUCAGAACGGCGAUCUUGAACGGGCUGAUUGCGAUGAGAAAGAUCAGGCGGUGAGGCACAUUAAUGCGUCAGAAACAAAAUAAAAAAAUGGACAGUUCAUCUUUACCGUAAUUUUUCUCUCAAUUUCAGUUCAAAUGUAAGUAUGAUAUAGUCGUCUUCAAUGUAGGUUUCUUGGGUUACUAGUACUAGUCUUAACUAUGCACUUUAUGUGUUUGUUUAAUUGACUGAAUGGUGUGUUUGUUGGAACAAUUUCUUGGUUGGAGACGAAGUUAACGAAGGAAGAUGGCGAGGGGUGGGAGUGAGUGGGGAUAUAAUGGGAGAGGGAAGUGGUGUUCAUACAAGUGAACCACUCUCAUCGUAUGCUCAAUCAACAUUGGCGUUGCUCUCUAUGUUCUUCAUUCUUUGUACACUUUGCUUUACAUUUAUUCUUAUAACGAUUCACAAAACGGUAAGUGUUCUUGCAGCUCCAUACGCCUAGUUUUUAUUUGGAUUUCUCCAACCCAUUUCCUAAUCAAGGCUUUUUCAUAUACCCAAUUCCCUAUUUAUUAAUAUUAUUUUAUUUUUUUCUUCUAAAAGGAGUUUCUUGUAUACAAUUGUCAAGUACACCCCAGAUCAGAUUAGGAAAAUGGAAGAUUCAAUUUGAAUACGAAAAACAUCCGAACCUGUAGAGCUAAUUAAAUUGGUAAAAGAAAUUAAGAAGGAAUUUUUAAGUGAACAAAGCCCUGUCGAAUUGCCGCAGCACUUGAAACAAAAGAUAACGGAUGAGAUCGUUAGAAGGUUGAGGGGCUUGAGAGCCGGUGCUAAUGUGAGCGAGCAGCGAAAUAUUUACUGAGUAGGAGUUUGCUUCUUGUGGAAUACAUGCUUGGUGAAAAGGCGACUAACUUUUGUUUUUGUUACCCACAGAAAAAUGAUGAGGAAAACUUUUAAUUUUGGUUUACGUUAUUUUGAAUGAUGAACAACUUUAUGUAUUUUAACAUUAUAUAUGUAUUAUGGAAUAUUAUGUAGUGGGGCAAUUUUGUUGAUGUGUAGUUAUGGAUGAAAGAAUGUUUUUAUUAUGGAGAAAUUGUUAUUUCUAUACAGAAAUUUUAUAUUA
Non-coding RNA from Camellia sinensis, 1470 nucleotides. Lineage: Eukaryota; Viridiplantae; Streptophyta; Magnoliopsida; Ericales; Theaceae. The record is from RefSeq and is a predicted model, not a curated record.